This 90-nucleotide transfer RNA is filed under the name Betaproteobacteria bacterium. RNAcentral describes it as "tRNA-Ser". It matches the Rfam family "tRNA". Rfam says of the family: Transfer RNA (tRNA) molecules are approximately 80 nucleotides in length. RNAcentral also lists the same sequence under 2 other names. The record is from RNAcentral. Lineage: Bacteria; Pseudomonadati; Pseudomonadota; Betaproteobacteria.
GGAGAGAUGGCAGAGUGGUCGAAUGCGCCGGAUUCGAAAUCCGGUUUACAGCUUGCUGUAACGGGGGUUCGAAUCCCCCUCUCUCCGCCA